This is a long non-coding RNA of Balaenoptera acutorostrata (minke whale), 2045 nucleotides long. RefSeq lists it as uncharacterized. The record is from RefSeq and is a predicted model, not a curated record. The transcript is spliced from 4 exons. NCBI's taxonomy places the organism in Eukaryota, Metazoa, Chordata, Mammalia, Artiodactyla, Balaenopteridae.
AGGAGGGGAGACUGCCGCCAUGUCCUGACCGCCUUCUGCCACGUGGUGAGGUGUCACUCCAGGACCUUGUUUCAGACAGGAUCCGGGAAGUUGAUUACAAAGAAUCUCUUAUCUCCUGCAUACUCAACCUGUUUUCAGCAAUAUUGUCAGUCCUGCACACCACAGCCGUUAUUUCCUGUGGCUUCUGCCCUUUCACUCUGCAGCACAAAAAUAGGUCACUAUUAUAAAAUUAACUCUUGGACUCUCCUGAGCUGUCUCACGGCAGUGAUCAACACUGAAAUUUCGCUCUGAGCAAAAAGAGUGAAGAGAAGGCUGGGAAGCCACCCUCCUUUCCACCUCCAAGCUUCAUGGAAGAAUAGCCCAAAGGGCAGUAAUGCAAUGCGGACAGACCCCCUGAGGUCUUUUAACAGGGGACAUGACAACAUGACAAUCCAGCUGGAGUUUGAAGUGUGACCUUGGAGGUUUGAAGAGAUAAGCCACCUGUGGAACUCUCAUAUUGAAGAAAAUCAGCCCUGCUUUUAGGAGACUGUAAAGGACUCCCAAGAACCUUGCCCAGGACCAACAUGGCCCCGCUGCCUGCAAGCAAUAUAGUCCCAGGCUACGUGUCCAACCGUUAUCUACCGUUGUUUCCUUUCACACUCACCAUGCUUUAUGGAAGCAAUCUCCUGUACACACCCAAAACAUUCCUAACUUAGGCAAUUCUUUCCCCUCAAACCUAUUUUACUCUCAUGUCUGCCUGUGUUCCUUGUCCCAGUAAAUAGAAACUCUGUUUACCAACACUACUAAUUGUCAAACUAAAAAUUUGAAACCACCCUUGAAUUCUUUUUUAUAUCUGCCUGUCAGAUCCAUCAACAAAUCCUGAUUCCAACCACUUCUCACCCCUUCCAUUACUACAAAGCUGGUGCACGCCUCUGCCUCUCUUGCCUGGAUCAUUGCAAUAACCUUCUAAUGAAUCUUGUUGUUUCUUCCCUUGCCCUCCUGCUGUCUAUUUUCAACAAGACAGAUGGUGAUUCUGUUAAAAUAUAAAUCAUAUUGUGUCACUCAUCUACUCAAAUUUUUCUUUACUUCCCAUACCAGUCAGACGAAGGCCAGUGUCCCAGCAAUGACCUACAAGAUCUUCUAUGAUCUGGCUUCAUCUCUACUACCCUUGCUCGCUACUCAUCCUUUUCCAGUCAGAAUGGUUUCUGUUUUUCCUUUUAAAAACCAAUCACACUCACUCCUCACAUCCUCUACACUGCUUCUGCAUGAAAUUCUUUUCUCCCAGUUAUAAAAUGAUGUUUCUUCUGAACCCGUCUUCAGGUAUCUGCUUAACUGUCAUACUCUCUGUGAAAUCUAUCCUUAUUUAUUCCGGCACAGUAUUCAUCAUUAUCUAACAUACUGCAUACUUUAUUUGUAUUGUUUAUUUGUGUUUGUAUUUAUGUCUCCUAUCAUUAGGAAGAAAGUUCAUGCAAGCAAGGAGUUUUAUCUAUUUUGUUUAUCUAUCUUAUUUAUUGUUGUGUCCCCCAGCCCCUAGAAGAGAGCCAGGCAUACAGUAGAUUCUCUUUAAAUGUAUCUAGAACGGAUGAAUAAAUAAAGUCACCUUUUUACAUUGCUGAAAGACAAUGAGUAUCUCAAAAAAUAAUAGAGUUAUUUCUUCCUUGAAGGGCCAUAGUUUUUAGAGUCCAGAAGCAUACAACUCCUGAAUUCCAGAUAGCAAGGAUGAUGAAAUCUUCUUUUCGAAGAAAUGUCACUAUUACUGUUAAGUCCUGGUUACAAUUCCACAAACUCCCUGUGGGCAUAGUUAAUCUGAGGCCCCUUUGAAAAAAAUGUCAAUUACCUCCUGGUUUCUUCUUUCUCCAGCACUGUGACAUCCUCCCCUGAUUAAUUCUCAUUUCAUUUUCUAUAGCAUCAACUGUAGAGCCAGCACUCAUUCUCUUCAAACAAAUUACUAAAGGCAACAUGAUAACCUGGCAGAAUUGUCUUAACUUCAGUUGUCUUUUUCCCUUUGAAGUUAAAUCCCCUCUGCUCAUUAUCAGAUGAUCUGAGUAGAUUGUAUGUGAUGUAUU